RNAcentral lists this ribosomal RNA (158 nucleotides) under Geosmithia proliferans. RNAcentral describes it as "5.8S ribosomal RNA". It matches the Rfam family "5.8S ribosomal RNA". From Rfam's summary of the family: 5.8S ribosomal RNA (5.8S rRNA) is a component of the large subunit of the eukaryotic ribosome. It is transcribed by RNA polymerase I as part of the 45S precursor that also contains 18S and 28S rRNA. Functionally, it is thought that 5.8S rRNA may be involved in ribosome translocation. The record is from RNAcentral. Lineage: Eukaryota; Fungi; Ascomycota; Sordariomycetes; Hypocreales; Bionectriaceae.
AAACUUUCAGCAACGGAUCUCUUGGUUCUGGCAUCGAUGAAGAACGCAGCGAAAUGCGAUAAGUAAUGUGAAUUGCAGAAUUCAGUGAAUCAUCGAAUCUUUGAACGCACAUUGCGCCCGCCAGUACUCUGACGGGCAUGCCUGUCCGAGCGUCAUUU